AGGACGAACGCUGGCGGCGUGCCUAACACAUGCAAGUGGAGCGACGAACCGGGGCUUGCCCCGGGGCAGAGCCGCGAACGGGUGAGUAACACGUGGGUUACCUGCCCCGAUGACUGGGACAACCCGUCGAAAGACGGGCUAAUACCGGAUGUGCCCCUUGGGGGAAAGGAAGCUUCGGCCUCCGCAUCGGGAUGGGCCCGCGGCGCAUUAGCUUGUUGGUGGGGUAAUGGCUUACCAAGGCGACGAUGCGUAGCUGGUCUGAGAGGACGAUCAGCCACACUGGGACUGAGACACGGCCCAGACUCCUACGGGAGGCAGCAGUGGGGAAUCUUGCACAAUGCGCGAAAGCGUGAUGCAGCAACGCCGCGUGCGGGAAGAAGGCCUUAGGGUGUAAACGCUUCAGUUGGGACGAAGCUUCGAGUCGUUAAUGCGUUUGGAGUGACGGUACCUUCAGAACGUAAGCGACCGGUACUAACGUACAGUCGACCAG
RNAcentral lists this ribosomal RNA (490 nucleotides) under uncultured soil bacterium. RNAcentral's name for it is "bacterial SSU rRNA". It matches the Rfam family "Bacterial small subunit ribosomal RNA", at positions 26 to 518 of the family's 1533-position model. The record is from RNAcentral.